GAUCUUGCUCAAUGGGGGAAACGCUGAUCCAGCUAUCCCGCGUGUAGGAUGACUGCCNNNGGGUUNUCAAGUACUUUUGGCAGNUACNAACAUGUAUCUCCUAAUACGAGAUACUGCUGACGGUAUCUGCUGAAUAAGCACCGGCUAACUACGUGCCAACAGCCGCGGUAAUACGUAGGGUGCAAGCGUUAAUCGGAAUUACUGGGCGUAAAGCGUGUGUAGGCGGUUCGGAAAGAAAGAUGUGAAAUCCAAGGGCUCAACCUUAGAACUGCAUUCAUAACUAGCGAACUAGAGUAUGUCAGAGGGGGGUGGAAUUCCGCGUGUACCAGUGAAAUGCGUAGAUAUGAGGAGGAAUACCGAUGGGGAAGGCAGCCCCCUGGGAUAAUACUGAAGCUCAGACACGAAAGCGUGGGGAGCAAACCG
This 423-nucleotide ribosomal RNA is filed under the name uncultured bacterium. RNAcentral's name for it is "partial 16S ribosomal RNA". It matches the Rfam family "Bacterial small subunit ribosomal RNA", at positions 359 to 775 of the family's 1533-position model. The record is from RNAcentral.